Molecule: long non-coding RNA, 644 nt
Organism: Numida meleagris (helmeted guineafowl)
Lineage: Eukaryota; Metazoa; Chordata; Aves; Galliformes; Numididae
Exons: 2
Source: RefSeq, a predicted model, not a curated record
ACUCUCUUUGGUGUGAGGUGGGUGAAGUAAUGCUCUCCGACUGGCAGGAUGCGACUGGAAGAAUUUGCAGAAGGAAGCCUGGCUCCAGCAGCACUCUCUGGAGACAGCAGAGGAGGAAAGUAGGGCUAUGUCUUGCUGGGUUGUUGAAGUUUCUCUGCAGAUGCAUUAUUCAGGCUACAAAGGAAAGGAUGUCAGAGUGCUGAGAUGUUUUCCUUCCUGCUUCAAAGUCAUCUUGUCUGCCUUCCAAGGGUAUCUUCUCUCAGGACCAGGAAUGGUGAUCGAGGUCCUAACUGGAGGCACAGCUCCUAACAGCGAUCCAUACUAGAUGGGUUCAUUUCUUUGGUGGCUCAGUAAUGAAAAAAUUACUUCUAUAGACCAUAUCACAGACAAGCUACCAGAUCUACAGUAAACAACAUUCAGUAACUUUUACUAUACGUUAUGGUUUUUCAUUUUAGCAUAGUUCCAAACUCUUCUGAUUCUCUUAAAUUACAGACCAUGGUAUUCUUUGAACAACUACACAUGCUGUAUCUUCACUUAUCAAAUGCAGCACCUUUGCAAUUAAGGCAUGCAUUUUGAAGGCUUUACAAAUGCAUUUGCUUGUCUUGCUUAAGUGCUGCUGCUUCAAAAAAUAAAUGAUUAAUUAC